CUCAGAGCUGGAUGCCAGCUGCCACUGUAAUCUCAUACAUGUUACAUCUCUCAACUGCGUAGAUGAGUUCCAAUUCUCUGUGUGCCUGUGAGGCAGCUCAGAGUGGACAUCAACCAGCAAGGGCUUCCUAAGGCUGAAUUCCUAAGGCAGAAUUCCCAACUCCCAUCCAGUUUGUUUGGCUUCAGCUUGUGUUUCUGUGCCCAGCCGGGUUGCAGCAUUGCAAGCCGGCGCGCGCUAGCAGCAGCAGCGCGAGCACUGAGGCGCCCAGCAGGAAGGCAGAGAGGCUAAGGCGCGCCUCAGAGCCCUGCAGCCGCGCAGCCUGCGGCAUUUGGUGGCCCGUACGGGGAACGUCCGAAACUUAGAGAAAAAGGCAUUAUCGUCAUAGAUGAGAGCCACAUGUGUUUUCCUGCUCCUAUCGACCUCCUUCCAGUGGAAAAGACAUUGAGGUGGAAGAUGGUGAUGUGGAUGGCCCUGACCCUGUGUGGGUCUAAGAAAGCAAACCUGACAACUUAGGAGCAGCAUUGCACCUGCCUCUGUGGAUUCACGUAGCAUCUUUCUGAGUACAUCUUGUCGUCUCUACUUAGAGAUUAUCAGCCUCUUUGGGGCAAUGACUGCAUUUCUUUCAUGCCUAUUGUCUAAUAUC
Molecule: long non-coding RNA, 643 nt
Filed under: Ictidomys tridecemlineatus (thirteen-lined ground squirrel)
Lineage: Eukaryota; Metazoa; Chordata; Mammalia; Rodentia; Sciuridae
Description: lncRNA (ENSSTOG00000034866.1)
Source: RNAcentral